Molecule: non-coding RNA, 185 nt
Filed under: Myxococcales bacterium
Lineage: Bacteria; Pseudomonadati; Myxococcota; Myxococcia; Myxococcales
Description: 6S RNA
Rfam family: 6S / SsrS RNA
About the family: E. coli 6S RNA was the first non coding RNA to be sequenced, but its function was unknown until recently. It consists of 184 nucleotides that fold into an extended hairpin structure with a large single-stranded internal bulge. The 6S RNA specifically associates with RNA polymerase holoenzyme containing the sigma70 specificity factor.
Source: RNAcentral
AAGACCCUGUGGGGUUCGCGAUUGCGCCAAGUGUGGAACCUCUGACGUAUUCUUCGGGAUCUGUCCCCGGCUGUGUUGUGCAUGCCCACCUUGUAGUGGGAAGCCUGAAGCAGCCACACGGAACCCCCUUUGUGACAACAAAGGGGUUCCGCUUAGCGCUACACGACGGCCUUUUCGGGGCAAGG